AGUGAACGCUGGCGGUAGGCCUAACACAUGCAAGUCGAACGGCAUCACAGGAGAGCUUGCUCUCUAGGUGGCGAGUGGCGGACGGGUGAGGAAUACAUCGGAAUCUGCCCAGUCGUGGGGGAUAACGUAGGGAAACUUACUCUAAUACCGCAUACUACCUUCGGGUGAAAGAGGGGGAUCGCAAGACCUCUCGCGAUUGGAUGAGCCGAUGUCGGAUUAGCUAGUUAGCGGGGUAAUGGCCCACCAAGGCGACGAUCCGUAGCUGGUCUGAGAGGAUGAUCAGCCACACUGGAACUGAGACACGGUCCAGACUCCUACGGGAGGCAGCAGUGGGGAAAAUUGGACAAUGGGAGCAAGCAUGAUACAGCCAUACCGCGUGGGUGAAGAAGGCCUUCGGGUUGUAAAGCCCUUUUGUUGGGAAAGAAAUCUAACAGGCUAAUACCCUGGGAGGAUGACGGUACCAAAAGAAUAAGCAACGGCUAACUUAGA
This 489-nucleotide ribosomal RNA is filed under the name uncultured bacterium. Its description in RNAcentral is "partial 16S ribosomal RNA". It matches the Rfam family "Bacterial small subunit ribosomal RNA", at positions 29 to 506 of the family's 1533-position model. The record is from RNAcentral.